GAAACUGCCUGAUGGAGGGGGAUAACUACUGGAAACGGUAGCUAAUACCGCAUAAUGUCGCAAGACCAAAGAGGGGGACCUUCGGGCCUCUUGCCAUCAGAUGUGCCCAGAUGGGAUUAGCUAGUAGGUGGGGUAACGGCUCACCUAGGCGACGAUCCCUAGCUGGUCUGAGAGGAUGACCAGCCACACUGGAACUGAGACACGGUCCAGACUCCUACGGGAGGCAGCAGUGGGGAAUAUUGCACAAUGGGCGCAAGCCUGAUGCAGCCAUGCCGCGUGUAUGAAGAAGGCCUUCGGGUUGUAAAGUACUUUCAGCGGGGAGGAAGGUGUUGUGGUUAAUAACCGCAGCAAUUGACGUUACCCGCAGAAGAAGCACCGGCUAACUCCGUGCCAGCAGCCGCGGUAAUACGGAGGGUGCAAGCGUUAAUCGGAAUUACUGGGCGUAAAGCGCACGCAGGCGGUCUGUCAAGUCGGAUGUGAAAUCCCCGGGCUCAACCUGGGAACUGCAUUCGAAACUGGCAGGCUGGAGUCUUGUAGAGGGGGGUAGAAUUCCAGGUGUAGCGGUGAAAUGCGUAGAGAUCUGGAGGAAUACCGGUGGC
RNAcentral lists this ribosomal RNA (599 nucleotides) under uncultured Enterobacter sp. RNAcentral's name for it is "bacterial SSU rRNA". It matches the Rfam family "Bacterial small subunit ribosomal RNA", at positions 122 to 716 of the family's 1533-position model. The record is from RNAcentral. Lineage: Bacteria; Pseudomonadati; Pseudomonadota; Gammaproteobacteria; Enterobacterales; Enterobacteriaceae.